UUAAAACAUAAAUAAAUGAAAUAAAAUUGGAACGAUACAGAGAAUAUUAGCAUGGCCCCUACACAAGGAUGACACAAAUUCAUGAAGCAUUCCAUGUUUUU
Molecule: small nuclear RNA, 101 nt
Filed under: Balaenoptera musculus (blue whale)
Lineage: Eukaryota; Metazoa; Chordata; Mammalia; Artiodactyla; Balaenopteridae
Source: RNAcentral